This 655-nucleotide long non-coding RNA is filed under the name Homo sapiens (human). RNAcentral's name for it is "acetyl-CoA carboxylase alpha (ENSG00000275176.4)". Lineage: Eukaryota; Metazoa; Chordata; Mammalia; Primates; Hominidae. The record is from RNAcentral.
CUCAGGCCACAGUCAUUUGCUCCUUCCAAGAAAUGAAAGGAAAGGAACAUGGAGAGAAAGGGGAAAGUAAUAUUUUCUGUGUGCCUACUAUCUAACAAGCUCUGUGCCAGAAGCUUAACAUGUUGGUUACAUCAUUUAAUCCAAAACACCACCUUAGAAGGACCAGACUUAUGAAGUGGCCUUCCUGAGGAGAUUUUCUGACCUUAUGGUAUGAAGUUCCUUCAGGCUCUUAAUUCUGGAUAAACUGGAGUGAUUAACAAGAGCAAAGAGACAUAGUAUUCAGAUAAGGACUUUGUGUCUUAUUUUUCUUUUAUAUCACAACUGGAGCCACAGUUGUGGGCAAGGCACUGACUUUCUUGAUGAAUUCUGUCCAUCUGUAAAGCAGCUAUAUAUCCCACUGGAGGCUUUGCCUCUCAGAGACAACGUGAAGACGGAUAAGCAGGCAUCAGGAGCAGAGUGGCCUCUCAGCUUCCGCCAAGAACUUCUUACCUGGGCAUGUAUUUCUAUCCUAUUCACUUUUUACUCUCUGGCGUGGAACUUCUUCCUACCAAACUGUCAUCCUCUGCACCUCUCCUGGCCUUCCUCACAAGUUUGUAAGCAUUAAGAAGGUGCGCUGCAUGCUUCAUUAAAUUCCUCCUUGGAAGGGCUGAGUUCA